Non-coding RNA from Otolemur garnettii (small-eared galago), 197 nucleotides. The record is from Rfam. Lineage: Eukaryota; Metazoa; Chordata; Mammalia; Primates; Galagidae.
GUUUAUGGGAAGGAGAGUAGCCAGCAGGGAAGUUGUGGGUGUGGUGGUGUGUUGUGGCACGGAAGGCGUGUACAGGCUGGGCGAGUGGGGACAUGAAUGUAUGAGUGUGUAUGCAUGGGGCCUGGUUGGUGAGUGUGUGCACCUCCCUACGCCCCUUCCCCUUUAAAAAAAAAGAAAAAUUAUGUUUGCCUUUGAAA